Small nuclear RNA from Suncus etruscus (white-toothed pygmy shrew), 103 nucleotides. NCBI's taxonomy places the organism in Eukaryota, Metazoa, Chordata, Mammalia, Eulipotyphla, Soricidae. The record is from RefSeq and is a predicted model, not a curated record.
GUGCUCGCUUUGGCAGCACAUAUACUAAAAUUGGAACGAUACAGAGAAGAUUAGCAUGGCCCCUGCACAAGAACUGGUACUGAGAGGGGGGAAACACAGUGUG